CAUUGGUGAGAAUCCAAUGCCCCAAAAAUCUAAGGGUUCCUCCACAAGGUUCGUCCACUGAGGGUGAGUCAGGGCCUAAGAUCAGGCUGAAAGGCAUAGUCGAUGGACAACAGGUGAAUAUUCAUAUACUACCCUUUGUUGGCCCCGAGGAACGGAGAAUUUAUAUAGAUAUAGGAGAAUGUGUUUAAAUAGAAAUGCACCACAAUCUAUAUUAAAGUUUGUUGGACAACUGGGGA
This 236-nucleotide non-coding RNA is filed under the name Amborella trichopoda. RNAcentral describes it as "Bacterial large subunit ribosomal RNA". It matches the Rfam family "Bacterial large subunit ribosomal RNA", at positions 1316 to 1577 of the family's 2925-position model. The record is from Rfam by way of RNAcentral. Lineage: Eukaryota; Viridiplantae; Streptophyta; Magnoliopsida; Amborellales; Amborellaceae.